CGUACAGCACAGAAGACUGAUGGCCUUUAUUCAUCUUCAGAACAUGUACAGCAUGGGGAGCAGUGACACGAGCUUCCUGCUCUGUCCCACCAAUGUAUUUCAGCCUGCCCAGGAGGGAGGGACAGUACAUCUAGAGGAAGGGACAGUUUUUAAUAAACCAUAAUGGCCCAU
Molecule: small RNA, 171 nt
Filed under: Chelonoidis abingdonii (Abingdon island giant tortoise)
Lineage: Eukaryota; Metazoa; Chordata; Testudines; Testudinidae
Description: TUC338 (ENSCABG00000004550.1)
Source: RNAcentral